UGGGGAAUUUUGGACAAUGGGCGCAAGCCUGAUCCAGCCAUGCCGCGUGAGUGAAGAAGGCCUUCGGGUUGUAAAGCUCUUUCGGACGGGAAGAAAUGGCGGGCUCUAAUAUAGCCUGUCGAUGACGGUACCGUAAGAAGAAGCACCGGCUAACUACGUGCCAGCAGCCGCGGUAAUACGUAGGGUGCGAGCGUUAAUCGGAAUUACUGGGCGUAAAGCGUGCGCAGGCGGGUUUGUAAGACAGGUGUGAAAUCCCCGGGCUUAACCGGGGAACUGCGUUUGGGACUGCAAGGCUCGGGUACGGCAGCGGGGGGUGGAAUUCCACGUGUAGCAGUGAAAUGCGUAGAGAUGUGGAGGAACACCGAUGGCGAAGGCAGCCCGCCGGGCCUGUACUGGGGCUCAUGCACGAAAGCGUGGGGAGCAAACA
Molecule: ribosomal RNA, 427 nt
Filed under: uncultured bacterium
Lineage: Bacteria
Description: bacterial SSU rRNA
Rfam family: Bacterial small subunit ribosomal RNA
Source: RNAcentral